UCCCCUUCGGGGGACAAAGUGACAGGUGGUGCAUGGUUGUCGUCAGCUCGUGUCGUGAGAUGUUGGGUUAAGUCCCGCAACGAGCGCAACCCUUAAGCUUAGUUGCCAUCAUUAAGUUGGGCACUCUAAGUUGACUGCCGGUGACAAACCGGAGGAAGGUGGGGAUGACGUCAAAUCAUCAUGCCCCUUAUGAUUUGGGCUACACACGUGCUACAAUGGACAAUACAAAGGGCAGCGAAACCGCGAGGUCAAGCAAAUCCCAUAAAGUUGUUCUCAGUUCGGAUUGUAGUCUGCAACUCGACUACAUGAAGCUGGAAUCGCUAGUAAUCGUAGAUCAGCAUGCUACGGUGAAUACGUUCCCGGGUCUUGUACACACCGCCCGUCACACCACGAGAGUUUGUAACACCCGAAGCCGGUGGAGUAACCUUUUAGGA
This 434-nucleotide ribosomal RNA is filed under the name uncultured bacterium. Its description in RNAcentral is "bacterial SSU rRNA". It matches the Rfam family "Bacterial small subunit ribosomal RNA", at positions 1014 to 1447 of the family's 1533-position model. The record is from RNAcentral.